UAACGCGUGAGCAACCUGCCCUUCGGAGGGGGAUAGUGUCUGGAAACGGACAGUAAUACCGCAUAACGUAUUUUUACCGCAUGAUAGAAAUACCAAAACUGAGGUGCCGAAGGAUGGGCUCGCGUUGGAUUAGAUAGUUGGUGGGGUAACGGCCUACCAAGUCAACGAUCCAUAGCCGGACUGAGAGGUUGAACGGCCACAUUGGGACUGAGACACGGCCCAGACUCCUACGGGAGGCAGCAGUGGGGAAUAUUGCACAAUGGGGGAAACCCUGAUGCAGCAACGCCGCGUGAAGGAAGACGGUUUUCGGAUUGUAAACUUCUGUUCUUAGUGAAGAAAAAUGACGGUAGCUAAGGAGCAAGCCACGGCUAACUACGUGCCAGCAGCCGCGGUAAUACGUAGGUGGCAAGCGUUGUCCGGAAUUACUGGGUGUAAAGGGGGCGCAGGCGGGAAGCCAAGUCAGCUGUGAAAACUACGGGCUUAACUUGUAGACUGCAGUUGAAACUGGUUUUCUUGAGUGAAGUAGAGGUUGGCGGAAUUCCGAGUGUAGCGGUGAAAUGCGUAGAUAUUCGGAGGAACACCGGUGGCGAAGGCGGCCAACUGGGCUUUAACUGACGCUGAGGCUCGAAAGUGUGGGGAGCAAACAGGAUUAGAUACCCUGGUAGUCCACACUGUAAACGAUGAUAACUAGGUGUGGGGGG
RNAcentral lists this ribosomal RNA (701 nucleotides) under uncultured bacterium. RNAcentral describes it as "bacterial SSU rRNA". It matches the Rfam family "Bacterial small subunit ribosomal RNA", at positions 111 to 829 of the family's 1533-position model. The record is from RNAcentral.